Sapajus apella (tufted capuchin) is the source of this 333-nucleotide long non-coding RNA. RefSeq lists it as uncharacterized. Lineage: Eukaryota; Metazoa; Chordata; Mammalia; Primates; Cebidae. The transcript is spliced from 2 exons. The record is from RefSeq and is a predicted model, not a curated record.
AUCUUCCUGCCUCGGUGUCGCAAGGUGCUGGUAUUACAGCAUCCCUCUUGUGAGCAUGAGGAAGAAGGCCACAUUCUCAGGAUGGUGGAGGGAGAAGCUAGGAGACUGGAUACGUGAUGUCCCACUGGUGCUCCCCUGUUAACUCUGAUCUGCCUUUCUUCAUAUUCCUCAUUAAGAAAAACAAUCUCUGUCUUGACUGGGACACUUUUAUUUAUUUUUGGUUCCCUGAAGUUGAAUUUAAUUCCCACUGAUAGAACUAUGUUUAGUGCAAAGACUCAUCUGGGUAUGAUUGUCAUGAGAUCACUUUAGCCAAUAAACAGAAAUUAUGUGAAA